CCCAGCACAACAUUUUCAGCCCAAUCCAUCUAGAAGAGUAUUUCUUAACCUUAGUUUGUGCUAUGUGCAUCUCCACGGGGAAAUAAACCGUUAAAGGCCAGAAGGAAGCUGCUCCGAUAAGACCCAAGAUGGCGUUGAAGAAAGGGAAUAUCAUAGCUACUAAAGUUGUUAUAACCACAUAAGCUGUCCUCCACACUAGCUAUUACUAAAUAUUUUUUCUUUAAAGAAGGACUCCGGGUUAGCCUAAUGUCAUAAUCGAAGAUAUCGUCUCAAUGUUGUCGAUAUCCUAAUCGAAAUAAGAGCAUUUCCAAAAAAACCUCUGUAUUUUAGAAUUUCCAAAACUCUAUUUUGAAGUUUCAAAGUGUUCUUCUCCAAAGCAAAACUUUUAAUAUAACUUCAAAAUUAUUUGUAAUUUACACUGUGGUCUUUAUAUUUAUCAUAAUUAAUAUAAAUCCAUAAAAAUUUAUAAGUAACUAGCACAUAUGUAAAAAUAUUACAGUAAUAUUAAUUAAUAAAAUCUUACACUAAAAUAUAAAAUAUAAUUAAAUAAUUAAAUGUUAAUACAAGCAAAAUACAAAAUUAUUCCAUAAAAUAGUUUGGUUACACAAAACUUGUUUGGACAAUAUUCUAGAGGUUUCGGAGAAAAUUUACAAGACUACUAUUGUUGUUGUAAUAUUUAAAUUUCCGUAGUAAUUGUGUUUUCUGCAUCUUUUUAAAAUGUCUUUUAUUAAGUUUCUUUUGUAACAUUUUUGUUGUUUAAUUAUAGUCUUACAAUAUUAUAAAUCUUAUUUUAAUUUUUUUUUAAUUUAAUGUGUAAAAUUUGAAGUUAUAAAAUUAAAUUUGAAAUAUUUCUGAUAUACAAAAAUUUUAAAGAUUAAAAUGAUAAAUGAAAAAAUACUUAAGAAUCAUAAAUGUGAUGUAUAAUUAAUUAUAAUGACUAAAAUGCAAAUACCAUAUGAAAAUUCAAAUUUAGAGUUUUGAGUAGUGAAACUUCCUUAAAACUCGAAAUUUAAAGUUUUUAAGUUCUUUUUUUAAGAGCAAAAAAUUAUAUAUUUGAAGUUAUAGAGUUUCUUUUGGAAAUGCUCUAAGUUAGAUAUUUGGUACAAUAUACAAUUAACGAGUAUAAAUAAACAUGAACAGACUUGAUAUUGUUAUUACCUAACAGGCUUUUCAUCGUUAGAAAAUGGGAAAAAAUAUGCAAUUGUGUGGCAACCUUUGAUAUAAAAACUAGAGUUGUAUCCCUUAAACCGCCGUUUUGUAUCAGAUUUCAAUUUAUUAAUAAAAUUUAAGCUUUAGAAAACUAAAGGCAGAAACAGUUAUUUUGGCCUCACAUCCCUAAAAUAUUAGGACCGACCUAGUUGCUGGUUUGGUUGAAGACUUGAAGUAAAAUCUGUUACCCAAUUUGCGAGAAACAAAAUGGAAAAAGAAGGCGAGAGGUAAUCAUCGCGAGGAAGAACAAAACUUUGAAGAUUAGUUAAGAGCUCCCAACUUGAUAAUUAUUUUAUAAUUGUUUAUGCUUGGAUAGCUUGGAUAGCUUGGAUUGAAAGCGAACUAUUUUUUUGGACUCUAAUCGUAGGUGGAAGGUCAGUUGAAAAUGUUCUUAUUCAAAUUAAUGGCUAUCCAGUUAGUACAAUAACUAGUAAAUGCAAACGUAUUUUAAAAGUGAUAUGUACCGAAAUUUUCAUUAAGAUAGUGCCUACGUAUUGAAAAUGUUACAUCUUUGCUUCAACGAUUAUCCAUCAGCAUCAAAUAUACAAACUCACCUCAUCAGUUUCCCCCUAAUUAUGUGAUUUAUUUGCUGAUUAAAAACCAGUGACAGGGAGAAAAACAAGACAGCGAAAAACAAGAUAAUGGUUUUAGUCAUACAUACCUUCAAGCUUGGUGAAUGGUGAUGCAGCUGGUCAGUAUCUAUAUACACACAUCUAUUUAUGUUUAGAGAAAACUACAUGUUAAGCACAUUUUACUAGGUUCCUUUCACACAAAGAAAAUUUUUAGUUAUAAACCCCAGCCUGGAGUUUCUUAUACUUGAAAAGCGCAUGAUUGCUUAUGAAUAUCCGCAGUUGAGGAAGCACGAGAAAAAUUAUCCUAUCAUGACUUGGAAAUUGCAUCUUUUGUGUUUGCACUCAAGAUUUUGAUGGUCAUACAUGUAUGGGGAAAAAGUUAUGGUGUUCAUGGCCCAUAAAAAUCUUAAGUACAUUUUCACUCAACCCCUUGAUGGAUAGAUCGCAUUUUUGUAGACAUUGGUCAAUCGACCGAGUGCGCAUUGAGAUCAUUCGAUGGCGACCAUUUUGUCGCCUUUUGGAUUAUAUGAGCAUAUAAAAUACAAAAUUAUGUAGAUGCGUCGCUUUUACCAAUAGAUGAAAGACUUUCCACUAAUAAGAUUGAGCUCUUUUUUAACAAAUGAUAGGUAAUUUAUUUAGCUUCAUAUGCCAGAUGUUUGAGGUCCAUCUAAUGGUGCAAUGAUAAGUGCCAAGGUUGAGCUGAUCCAAUCAAGAAGCAGUGAUGAUGUGGAGGUGGAGUAACAACUUUAGGCAAGAGAGUUUGCUGAGUCUUGAGUUGUAUAUCGUUUAGACUAUAAAUAAUGAGUCUAAGAGAGGUUGGCCAUUUACUGGGAAAUUGUGUGGGACACUGAGAGAGAUCUUAUGUGUAUAGGCUCAAGGUCUCCUUGAGAUCUUGAGAUUGUAACUGGUUCGAUUAGAGUAACAAUAGAAUGCUGUGCUCUAUCAGGCAACCAAAAUUUAUGUUCGUUUACUGAAGACAAAUCAUAAUUUUCCAUGACUCUUUUUUCAAACAUCAUAUUUACAUUCUGUCCAUUUGUUUUUUUUUUUGCACUCAAAACUACAAACAAACUUUUUUAUAUUGUUUAAUUCUUUUCUCUUGAAGAAUUUAGAGUAACAUUAGUUUGUGGAUUUGAUCCCUAAUAUAUUAAUGCAAUUUGAUGUACAAGUACAUUUAAAGAUAACUUGAUGAUAUCAACUCGCAAAUAAAAAACAGUAAAUUUCGUUCUUAUAAAUCGCAAAAUGGUUCGUACCAAGAAAACCCACCGGACGAAAGCGGUGACGAAAACCACACAGGUUCCGUCCAUGAACUGUGGCGUUGAGAGAGAUCAGAAAAGAAUUGAGAUUUUGAUCCGAAAGCUUACGUUCCAGAGAAUCAAGGGGGAGAGGGCUUAAGAGAAGAAGAAACGAAACAAAUGGAUUCUGCAAGUACAUGAGAUUCAUUGUCUCUCUUCGGACAUGGGCUAUGUUCGUAUGGUUUAUACAUGAUCAAUCAAAUUUGAAAAAGCUAUUAUUGGGUCAUAUGUAUUACACUGAAAGUUGUGGAUGAUACAUAGACAUUCAUGUAGCUUUUUAAGCAAUACAAUAUUUUCAUUUGGAUUUUAGACACCAAACAGUUACAAAGAAAAUACCAAACUGUUACAUUUUUUCACUCUCAUGCAUGGAUCUCAAACUCACUCAUGGAUAGUCCGGAAGGGCUUGUAUGUCUUCACACUACUUAUCAGUCCAGCGAUGGAUCCAGCAGCAGCUAACAGGGAGACGAUCAAGCAAACCCAGCACAACAUUUUCAGCCCAAUCCAUCUAGGAGAGUAUUUCUUAACCUUAGUUUGUGCUAUGUGCAUCUCCACGGGGAAAUAAACAGUUAAAGGCCAGAAGGAAGCUGCUCCGAUAAGACCCAAGAUGGCGUUGAAGAAAGGGAAUAUCAUAGCUACUAAAGUUGUUAUAACCACAUAAGCUGUCCUCCACACUAGUCUGAAGAGGUUGAUGUUGAAUUUUCCAAGGAAUGGUAUGUUUAC
RNAcentral lists this long non-coding RNA (3793 nucleotides) under Brassica napus (rape). RNAcentral describes it as "long non-coding RNA (BNAP_LNC025575)". Lineage: Eukaryota; Viridiplantae; Streptophyta; Magnoliopsida; Brassicales; Brassicaceae. The record is from RNAcentral.